AUUGAACGCUGGCGGCAUGCCUUACACAUGCAAGUCGAACGGUAACAGGUUAAGCUGACGAGUGGCGAACGGGUGAGUCAUGUAUCGGAACGUGCCCAGUCGUGGGGGAUAACUGCUCGACAGAGCAGCUAAUACCGCAUACGACCUGAGGGUGUAAGCGGGGGAUCGCAAGACCUCGCGCGAUUUGAGCGGAAGAUAGCAGAUUAGGUAGUUGGUGAGGUAAAGGCUCACAAAGCCGACGAUCUGUAGCUGGUAUGAGAGGAAGACCAGCCACACUGGGACAGAGACACGGCCCAGACUCCUACGGGAGGCAGCAGUGGGGAAUUUUGGACAAUGGGCGCAAGCCUGAUCCAGCCAUGCCGCGUGCGGGAAGAAGGCCUUCGGGUUGUAAACCGCUUUUGUCAGGGAAGAAAAGGUUCUGGCUAAUACCUGGGACUCAUGACGGUACCUGAAGAAUAAGCACCGGCUAACUACGUG
Molecule: ribosomal RNA, 477 nt
Filed under: uncultured bacterium
Lineage: Bacteria
Description: partial 16S ribosomal RNA
Rfam family: Bacterial small subunit ribosomal RNA
Source: RNAcentral